This 117-nucleotide non-coding RNA is filed under the name Thermomicrobium roseum. RNAcentral's name for it is "TPP sequence". It matches the Rfam family "TPP riboswitch aptamer (THI element)". From Rfam's summary of the family: Vitamin B(1) in its active form thiamin pyrophosphate (TPP) is an essential coenzyme that is synthesised by coupling of pyrimidine and thiazole moieties in bacteria. The previously detected thiamin-regulatory element, thi box was extended, resulting in a new, highly conserved RNA secondary structure, the THI element, which is widely distributed in eubacteria and also occurs in some archaea. Lineage: Bacteria; Pseudomonadati; Thermomicrobiota; Thermomicrobia; Thermomicrobiales; Thermomicrobiaceae. The record is from RNAcentral.
CGAGACGGCUGCGGGAGCUCGGGGGUCACCGGGCUGAGAGGGUGGCGAACGCCCUGCCACCGACCGCGGAACCUGAACUGGGUAAUGCCAGCGGAGGGAAAGCCGUGACGCUCAUCG